RNAcentral lists this ribosomal RNA (495 nucleotides) under uncultured bacterium. Its description in RNAcentral is "partial 16S ribosomal RNA". It matches the Rfam family "Bacterial small subunit ribosomal RNA", at positions 28 to 505 of the family's 1533-position model. The record is from RNAcentral.
GAUGAACGCUGGCGGCGUGCCUAAUACAUGCAAGUCGAGCGAACAGACGAGGAGCUUGCUCCUUUGACGUUAGCGGCGGACGGGUGAGUAACACGUAGGUAACCUACCUAUAAGACUGGGAUAACUUCGGGAAACCGGAGCUAAUACCGGAUAAUAUUUCGAACCGCAUGGUUCGAUAGUGAAAGAUGGCUUUGCUAUCACUUAUAGAUGGACCUGCGCCGUAUUAGCUAGUUGGUAAGGUAACGGCUUACCAAGGCAACGAUACGUAGCCGACCUGAGAGGGUGAUGGGCCACACGGGAACUGAGAAACGGGCCAGACCCCUAAGGGGGGCAGCAGUAGGGAAUCUACCGCAAUGGGCGAAAGCCUAACGGAGAAACGCCGCGUGAGUGAUGAAGGUCUGCGGAUCGAAAAACUCUGUUAUUAGGGAAGAACAAACGUGUAAGUAACUGUGCACGUCUUGACGGGACCUAAUCAGAAAGCCACGGCUAACUACG